Molecule: small RNA, 83 nt
Filed under: Marmota monax (woodchuck)
Lineage: Eukaryota; Metazoa; Chordata; Mammalia; Rodentia; Sciuridae
Source: RNAcentral
GCUGGGUGAUGUGGCUUCCACCUGUAAUCCCAGCGGCUUAGGAAGCUGAGGCAGGAUAAUCACGAGUUCAAAGCCAGCCUCAG